This 253-nucleotide ribosomal RNA is filed under the name uncultured bacterium. Its description in RNAcentral is "partial 16S ribosomal RNA". It matches the Rfam family "Bacterial small subunit ribosomal RNA", at positions 524 to 776 of the family's 1533-position model. The record is from RNAcentral.
UACGGAGGGGGCAAGCGUUAUUCGGAAUUAUUGGGCGUAAAGGGCGCGUAGGCGGCUAGAUGUGUCAAAGGUGAAAUCUCUCGGCUCAACUGAGGAACUGCCUUUGAAACUGUCUGGCUUGAGGCCGGGAGAGGGUAGCGGAAUUCCCAGUGUAGCGGUGAAAUGCGUAGAUAUUGGGAGGAACACCAGUGGCGAAGGCGGCUACCUGGACCGGUUCUGACGCUGAGGCGCGAAAGCGUGGGUAGCAAACAGG